RNAcentral lists this ribosomal RNA (918 nucleotides) under uncultured bacterium. RNAcentral describes it as "bacterial SSU rRNA". It matches the Rfam family "Bacterial small subunit ribosomal RNA", at positions 246 to 1155 of the family's 1533-position model. The record is from RNAcentral.
UAGUUGGUGGGGUAAAGGCCUACCAAGGCGACGAUCUGUAGCGGGUCUGAGAGGAUGAUCCGCCACACUGGAACUGAGACACGGUCCAGACUCCUACGGGAGGCAGCAGUGGGGAAUUUUGGACAAUGGGGGCAACCCUGAUCCAGCCAUGCCGCGUGAGUGAAGAAGGCCUUCGGGUUGUAAAGCUCUUUCGUCCGGGAAGAAAUCGCACAGGCUAAUACUCUGUGUGGAUGACGGUACCGGAAUAAGAAGCACCGGCUAACUACGUGCCAGCAGCCGCGGUAAUACGUAGGGUGCGAGUGUUAAUCGGAAUUACUGGGCGUAAAGCGUGCGCAGGCGGUUUUGUAAGACAGGCGUGAAAUCCCCGGGCUCAACCUGGGAACUGCGCUUGUGACUGCAAGGCUAGAGUACGGCAGAGGGGGGUGGAAUUCCACGUGUAGCAGUGAAAUGCGUAGAGAUGUGGAGGAACACCGAUGGCGAAGGCAGCCCCCUGGGCCGAUACUGACGCUCAUGCACGAAAGCGUGGGUAGCAAACAGGAUUAGAUACCCUGGUAGUCCACGCCCUAAACGAUGUCAACUAGGUGUUGGGUGGGUAAAACCAUUUAGUACCGUAGCUAACGCGUGAAGUUGACCGCCUGGGGAGUACGGCCGCAAGGUUAAAACUCAAAGGAAUUGACGGGGACCCGCACAAGCGGUGGAUGAUGUGGAUUAAUUCGAUGCAACGCGAAAAACCUUACCUACCCUUGACAUGUCCGGAAUCCCUGAGAGAUUGGGGAGUGCCCGAAAGGGAAUCGGAACACAGGUGCUGCAUGGCUGUCGUCGGCUCGUGUCGUGAGAUGUUGGGUUAAGUCCCGCAACGAGCGCAACCCUUGUCGUUAAUUGCCAUCAUUAAGUUGGGCACUUUAGCGAGACUGCCGG